UCUCAUUGUCAGGGUUACGACAGUAGUUGUUAACCAGGCCUCUGACAAACAACAGACAGUAAUAAUGAUAAACACAGGCAAACUAAACAAUAAAGGCAACAUGCCAUAGGUCCCUCUUUUAUGAAAAACAAAAUUUCUCAGUUACAGUAGCUCUUACUUUCCGGGAUAGUUGUCUGGUGUGCGGCUAUGUUGGUGUGGCGUCUGAGCCGACCAGCUCUGGCAUGUUUUGCCAGAUCCA
Molecule: long non-coding RNA, 238 nt
Organism: Epinephelus moara (kelp grouper)
Lineage: Eukaryota; Metazoa; Chordata; Actinopteri; Perciformes; Serranidae
Exons: 2
Source: RefSeq, a predicted model, not a curated record